UUCGGGAGGCAGCAGUGAGGAAUUUUGCGCAAUGGGGGAAACCCUGACGCAGCAACGCCGCGUGAGUGAAGAAGGCCUUGGGGUCGUAAAGCUCUGUCGACAGGGAAGAAGUUAGUGUUUUUUAAUAGGAGAUAUUAUUGACGGUACCUGUAGAGGAAGCACCGGUUAACUUCGUGCCAGCAGCCGCGGUAAUACGGGGGGAGCAAGCGUUAUUCGGAAUUAUUGGGCGUAAAGGGCGCGUAGGCGGUUUUGUCGGUCAGAUGUGAAAGCCCAGGGCUCAACCCUGGAAGUGCAUUUGAAACAGCAAGACUUGAAUAUGGGAGAGGAAAGCGGAAUUCCUGGUGUAGAGGUGAAAUUCGUAGAUAUCAGGAGGAACACCGAUGGCGAAGGCAGCUCUCUGGACAGAUAUUGACGCUGAGGCGCGAAUUGCGUGGGUAGCGAACACGAUUAGAUACCCUAUAGUCCACGUUGCCCUCGUUUCACUAGGUGUGUCGGAUAUUAAAAUCUUCUUGCCCCAG
Molecule: ribosomal RNA, 518 nt
Filed under: uncultured bacterium
Lineage: Bacteria
Description: bacterial SSU rRNA
Rfam family: Bacterial small subunit ribosomal RNA
Source: RNAcentral